This 253-nucleotide ribosomal RNA is filed under the name uncultured bacterium. RNAcentral describes it as "partial 16S ribosomal RNA". It matches the Rfam family "Bacterial small subunit ribosomal RNA", at positions 524 to 776 of the family's 1533-position model. The record is from RNAcentral.
UACGUAGGGUGCGAGCGUUGCCCGGAUUUAUUGGGCGUAAAGGGCACGUAGGCGGCUCGGCAAAUCGGUCGUGGAAUCCCGACGCUUACCGUCGGAACGGCGGCCGAAAAUACCGGGCUCGAGGGCGUGAGGGGUCACUGGAACUCCUGGUGAAGCGGUGAAAUGCGUAGAUAUCAGGAGGAACGCCGGAGGCGAAAGCGAGUGACUGGCGCGUUCCUGACGCUGAGGUGCGAAAGCUAGGGGAGCAAACAGG